Long non-coding RNA from Malaclemys terrapin pileata, 347 nucleotides. RefSeq lists it as uncharacterized. NCBI's taxonomy places the organism in Eukaryota, Metazoa, Chordata, Testudines, Emydidae. The record is from RefSeq and is a predicted model, not a curated record. The transcript has 2 exons.
GCACAGAGUACAGGAUCACCUCCCUGUGAGAGAUGGAUGGCACAACAGACAGGAAAUCAACCGGCAAGACCCGAAACAUCUGCUACUGCAUGGCAGCUGGCUGACAGUGGUUUCAGAACAGGACACUCAUAUCAGGAGAAGGGACAACACUAGCAACCAUUGUAAAGAGCCUCAACCCAUUUGCCUACAUGGAAUAUAUACCCAUACUCAUGCUCUAAAACAAAUAUACAACCAGGCAGUCACUGACUGGAGGCCUUGAUUUUCAUUUAAAAUAUGUAAACAUUGUCUAUAUGGACACUGGUCUGGGACAUGUUAAAACAUAUUAAUUAUAAGUCUGAAUAUCCUCA